RNAcentral lists this ribosomal RNA (253 nucleotides) under uncultured prokaryote. RNAcentral describes it as "partial 16S ribosomal RNA". It matches the Rfam family "Bacterial small subunit ribosomal RNA", at positions 524 to 776 of the family's 1533-position model. The record is from RNAcentral.
UACAGAGGGUGCAAGCGUUAAUCGGAAUUACUGGGCGUAAAGAGCACGUAGGUGGUUGUUCAAGUUGGAUGUGAAAGCCCCGGGCUUAACCUGGGAAGGUCAUCCAAAACUGUGCGACUAGAGUACGGUAGAGGGAAGUGGAAUUUCCGGUGUAGCGGUGAAAUGCGUAGAUAUCGGAAGGAACACCAGUGGCGAAGGCGACUUCCUGGACUGAUACUGACACUGAGGUGCGAAAGCGUGGGGAGCAAACAGG